UUGAACGCUGGCGGCAUGCCUUACACAUGCAAGUCGAACGGCAGCGCGGACUUCGGUCUGGCGGCGAGUGGCGAACGGGUGAGUAAUACAUCGGAACGUACCCUGUUGUGGGGGAUAACUAGUCGAAAGAUUAGCUAAUACCGCAUACGACCUGAGGGUGAAAGUGGGGGACCGCAAGGCCUCACGCAGCAGGAGCGGCCGAUGUCUGAUUAGCUAGUUGGUGGGGUAAAGGCCCACCAAGGCGACGAUCAGUAGCUGGUCUGAGAGGACGAUCAGCCACACUGGGACUGAGACACGGCCCAGACUCCUACGGGAGGCAGCAGUGGGGAAUUUUGGACAAUGGGGGCAACCCUGAUCCAGCAAUGCCGCGUGUGUGAAGAAGGCCUUCGGGUUGUAAAGCACUUUUGUCCGGAAAGAAAUCGCGCUGGUUAAUACCUGGCGUGGAUGACGGUACCGGAAGAAUAAGCACCGGCUAACUACGUGC
RNAcentral lists this ribosomal RNA (484 nucleotides) under uncultured Cupriavidus sp. RNAcentral's name for it is "bacterial SSU rRNA". It matches the Rfam family "Bacterial small subunit ribosomal RNA", at positions 30 to 508 of the family's 1533-position model. The record is from RNAcentral. Lineage: Bacteria; Pseudomonadati; Pseudomonadota; Betaproteobacteria; Burkholderiales; Burkholderiaceae.